GAUGAACGCUGGCGGCGUGCCUAAUACAUGCAAGUCGAGCGAACAGAUAAGGAGCUUGCUCCUUUGACGUUAGCGGCGGACGGGUGAGUAACACGUGGGUAACCUACCUAUAAGACUGGAAUAACUCCGGGAAACCGGGGCUAAUGCAGGAUAACAUGUUGAACCGCAUGGUUCUACAGUGAAAGGCGGCUUUGCUGUCACUUAUAGAUGGACCCGCGCCGUAUUAGCUAGUUGGUGAGGUAACGGCUCACCAAGGCAACGAUACGUAGCCGACCUGAGAGGGUGAUCGGCCACACUGGAACUGAGACACGGUCCAGACUCCUACGGGAGGCAGCAGUAGGGAAUCUUCCGCAAUGGGCGAAAGCCUGACGGAGCAACGCCGCGUGAGUGAUGAAGGUCUUCGGAUCGUAAAACUCUGUUAUUAGGGAAGAAAAAAUGCGUAAGUAACUGUGCGCGUCUUGACGGUACCUAAUCAGAAAGCCACGGCUAACUACGUG
Molecule: ribosomal RNA, 497 nt
Filed under: uncultured bacterium
Lineage: Bacteria
Description: partial 16S ribosomal RNA
Rfam family: Bacterial small subunit ribosomal RNA
Source: RNAcentral